This 296-nucleotide long non-coding RNA is filed under the name Zostera marina. RNAcentral describes it as "long non-coding RNA (ZMAR_LNC001565)". The record is from RNAcentral. Lineage: Eukaryota; Viridiplantae; Streptophyta; Magnoliopsida; Alismatales; Zosteraceae.
GGCAGGCGACGCACAUCGAUUCCUGACACACUCCGAGAUCCCCGCAUUUGGAUGGGAGGGCGCAUCCCGGAAGCACACCGUCGUCGUCGGAGAAGUAGGUGAAGGUUCUCUCCCACGCGUCGGUGGCGACUGGGUCGUAGUAAGUGUAGGCUACAAGGUUACCGGAGAUUUCUAAACGGAGGAUGGAGAGUGUGGCGUUGUACUUGACCUGCGCCACGAUGAAGUUUCCACCGGUAUCAGGGGUGAGUUGUAGUUCGUAGAACUCCGGUACGUCGUUGAAGGAGAAUCCCGGUUCG